AGUGAACGCUGGCGGUAGACCUAACACAUGCAAGUCGAACGGCAGCACAGUAAGAGCUUGCUCUUACGGGUGGCGAGUGGCGGACGGGUGAGGAAUACAUCGGAAUCUACUUUUUCGUGGGGGAUAACGUAGGGAAACUUACGCUAAUACCGCAUACGACCUACGGGUGAAAGCAGGGGAUCUUCGGACCUUGCGCGAUUGAAUGAGCCGAUGUCGGAUUAGCUAGUUGGCGGGGUAAAGGCCCACCAAGGCGACGAUCCGUAGCUGGUCUGAGAGGAUGAUCAGCCACACUGGAACUGAGACACGGUCCAGACUCCUACGGGAGGCAGCAGUGGGGAAUAUUGGACAAUGGGCGCAAGCCUGAUCCAGCCAUACCGCGUGGGUGAAGAAGGCCUUCGGGUUGUAAAGCCCUUUUGUUGGGAAAGAAAAGCAGCAGGUUAAUACCCCGCUGUUCUGACGGGACCCAAAGAAUAAGCACCGGCUAACUUCGU
Molecule: ribosomal RNA, 491 nt
Filed under: uncultured bacterium
Lineage: Bacteria
Description: partial 16S ribosomal RNA
Rfam family: Bacterial small subunit ribosomal RNA
Source: RNAcentral